AGCAGCCGCGGUAAUUCCAGCUCCAAUAGCGUAUAUUAAAGUUGUUGCAGUUAAAAAGCUCGUAGUUGAAUUUCGGGGUUAGUAGGUUGGUCAUGCCUCUGGUAUGUACUGGUCUCACUGAUUCCUCCUUCCUGAUGAACCUUAAUGCCAUUAAUUUGGUGUUUUGGGGAAUUUGGACUGUUACUUUGAAAAAAUUAGAGUGUUUAAAGCAAGCUAACGCUUGAAUACAUUAGCAUGGAAUAAUGAAAUAGGACGUUCGAUCCUAUUUUGUUGGUUUCUAGGAUUGACGUAAUGAUUAAUAGGGAUAGUUGGGGGCAUUAGUAUUCAAUUGUCAGAGGUGAAAUUCUUGGAUUUAUUGAAGACUAACUACUGCGAAAGCAUUUGCCAAGGAUGUUUUCAUUAAUCAAGAACGAAAGUUAGGGGAUCGAAGACGAUCAGAUACCGUCGUAGUCUUAACCAUAAACUAUGCCGACUAUGGAUCGGAUGAUGUUAAUUUUUUAAUGACUCAUUCGGCGCCUUACG
This 522-nucleotide ribosomal RNA is filed under the name uncultured Glomeraceae. Its description in RNAcentral is "SSU rRNA". It matches the Rfam family "Eukaryotic small subunit ribosomal RNA", at positions 569 to 1092 of the family's 1831-position model. The record is from RNAcentral. Lineage: Eukaryota; Fungi; Glomeromycota; Glomeromycetes; Glomerales; Glomeraceae.